Molecule: ribosomal RNA, 445 nt
Filed under: Streptomyces sp. 5BC2
Lineage: Bacteria; Bacillati; Actinomycetota; Actinomycetes; Kitasatosporales; Streptomycetaceae
Description: bacterial SSU rRNA
Rfam family: Bacterial small subunit ribosomal RNA
Source: RNAcentral
AGAGUUUGAUCCUGGCUCAGGACGAACGCUGGCGGCGUGCUUAACACAUGCAAGUCGAACGAUGAAGCCCUUCGGGGUGGAUUAGUGGCGAACGGGUGAGUAACACGUGGGCAAUCUGCCCUUCACUCUGGGACAAGCCCUGGAAACGGGGUCUAAUACCGGAUAAUACUUUCUUCCUCCUGGGAGAAGGUUGAAAGCUCCGGCGGUGAAGGAUGAGCCCGCGGCCUAUCAGCUAGUUGGUGGGGUAAUGGCCUACCAAGGCGACGACGGGUAGCCGGCCUGAGAGGGCGACCGGCCACACUGGGACUGAGACACGGCCCAGACUCCUACGGGAGGCAGCAGUGGGGAAUAUUGCACAAUGGGCGAAAGCCUGAUGCAGCGACGCCGCGUGAGGGAUGACGGCCUUCGGGUUGUAAACCUCUUUCAGCAGGGAAGAAGCGAAAGU